RNAcentral lists this transfer RNA (66 nucleotides) under Hypsathalia przewalskyi. Its description in RNAcentral is "tRNA-Arg". The record is from RNAcentral. Lineage: Eukaryota; Metazoa; Arthropoda; Insecta; Hymenoptera; Athaliidae.
AAGUUUGAAACAAAAAUUUGUAUUCAGUUUCGACCUGAAAUUCUAGUUAAUUUUAACUCUAACUUU